RNAcentral lists this transfer RNA (58 nucleotides) under Diaphorina citri (Asian citrus psyllid). It matches the Rfam family "tRNA", at positions 8 to 63 of the family's 71-position model. Rfam says of the family: Transfer RNA (tRNA) molecules are approximately 80 nucleotides in length. Their secondary structure includes four short double-helical elements and three loops (D, anti-codon, and T loops). Further hydrogen bonds mediate the characteristic L-shaped molecular structure. tRNAs have two regions of fundamental functional importance: the anti-codon, which is responsible for specific mRNA codon recognition, and the 3' end, to which the tRNAs corresponding amino acid is attached (by aminoacyl-tRNA synthetases). tRNAs cope with the degeneracy of the genetic code in two manners: having more than one tRNA (with a specific anti-codon) for a particular amino acid; and 'wobble' base-pairing, i.e. permitting non-standard base-pairing at the 3rd anti-codon position. Lineage: Eukaryota; Metazoa; Arthropoda; Insecta; Hemiptera; Psyllidae. The record is from Rfam by way of RNAcentral.
UAGCUUGGUGGUCAAGGCGUCUGCCUUGUAAGCGCUAGGUCGCGGGUUCGAUUCCCGC